RNA transcript from Manihot esculenta (cassava), 2416 nucleotides. It is a transcript of the gene named transcription initiation factor TFIID subunit 15b, with no coding region annotated. NCBI's taxonomy places the organism in Eukaryota, Viridiplantae, Streptophyta, Magnoliopsida, Malpighiales, Euphorbiaceae. The transcript has 7 exons. The record is from RefSeq and is a predicted model, not a curated record.
UUUUUUCCCCACGAUUUUUUUAAGACUUGGAUCAUACUCCAGAAGAGGGGUUCUUGCUUCCGUUGUAUAAAAAGAAGUCUGGGUGGAAAAAUUAAAAAAUUACAGUCAAAAGUUAAGCUAUAUAUAAACGAGACACGCCCUUGGGACCGAACGGCGUCCUCCCCUAAUUUUUUUCAUCGCUUCUUCGCAAGAAGACUAGGAAAAGGAUAACCCUAACAACUAGGUCGUGUCUGGGAUGUACGGUCAAGACGGCGAAUCUGCUCCUCCAUCUUACGGAGGAUAUGGCGGUGGCAGCGCUAGUGGCGGCGGCGGCGGCGGAGGAGGAGGAGGAUAUGGAGGAGGGGCAAGUGGUGGAGGCUAUGGGGGUGAUGGUGGUUACGGCAGCCGUGGUGGUAGAGGUGGCGGCGGCGGCGGCAGAGGAUAUGGUGGUAAUUCGCAAAAUCGUGGGUAUCAAGGAGGAGAUCGUGGAGGAAGAGGCGGUGGAGGUGGGGGCCGAGGAGGUGGCCGAGGUGGAGGCGGAAGGGACGGUGAUUGGCUGUGCCCUAAUCCAAGCUGUGGCAAUUUGAACUUUGCAAGAAGAGUUGAAUGUAACAAAUGCGGAACUCCCUCCCCUGCCGGUGCCAGCAAUGAUCGUGGAAAUGGUGCGGGAGGAGGUUAUAACAGAGGAAGUGGAGGAUAUGGGGGUAACCGUGGGGGUAGAGGUGGUAACUAUGAUGGUAAUAGAAGUAGCAAUUACAAUGAUGGAGGCAGAGGCGGUAGUUAUGAUAAUAGGAGUGGUGGUGGCAGUAGGGGGGGCUCCUAUGGUGGUAAUCAUGGAAGAGACGAUGGUUCUUAUAAUCAGAUGCCUCCCCCUGAAAUCCCAUCUUAUGGUAGUGCUAGUGGUAAUUAUCCACCACCACCUAACUCUUAUGGGGGCAAUGCAAAUUAUGGAAUGGAAGCAGUUCCUCCCCCUCAAAGUUACACUGGUGGACCUACAUCUUUCCCACCAUCUUAUGGGGGUCCUGUGAGUGGUUAUGGUGGUGAUGCUCCCGCUGAUGUGAGGACUGGUGGGCGAGGUGGCCCUUCUGGUGGGUAUGGUAGUGGUGGUUCUCGGUAUGAAGGAGGACGUGGUUUCGGCAGUGCUGGCACUGAUGCCUCAGCUAAAAUUAAGCAGUGUGAUGGAAAUUGUGAUGAUACUUGUGACAACUCUAGAAUAUACAUAUCAAAUUUGCCCCCAGAUGUGACUACUGAUGAAUUGAGAGAACUCUUUGGCGGCAUUGGACAAGUUGGAAGGAUUAAGCAGAAGCGGGGCUAUAAAGAUCAAUGGCCCUGGAAUAUAAAAUUGUACACAGAUGAGAAGGGAAACAACAAAGGUGAUGCAGUAUUGUCUUAUGAAGAUCCAUCUGCUGCACAUUCUGCCGGCGGUUUUUAUAAUAAUUAUGAUAUGAGGGGUUAUAAAAUAAGUGUUGCAAUGGCAGAAAAGACAGCUCUAAGGUCUCAACCUUCAUAUGAUCAUGGAGGUGGUGGUAGAGGUGGAUAUGGUGGAGGUGAUAGGCGCCGGGAUAGUUACAGAGAUGGAGGCUCUGGGCCAGAUAGGCACCACCAUGGUGGAAACCGUUCACGUCCAUACUGAGAAUAUCAGCACUGAGCUUUUUAUGUACUAAGAAUUGUGAUCUGAGGGAUUUAAUUAUAUUCCAUUUCCUUGGGGGGGUUAAACUGGAGACUAAGAGGUAGGUGUUCACUUACACUGAGCAAUACCCCUUUUUCUCCUCUUUCUGUUUGCUCGCACAUGGAGGGGUUUCUGUUUUAGGCAUGGGAUUGAUUUUAAUUAUGUGAAUGUUUUUAUAGAGGCAAGUGGAUUAACUCCAAAUAUCUUGCUGCUAAGGUAGGUUGAUAUUUUCAGGGUGUUGGAAGACUGAUAAGACUUACUUUUAUGCACAAAUCCAAAUUGGCCAGAUGUGUCAUCUGACAUUGCAAUGGGUUGUAGUUGCUAUAAGAUGCAUGAAGAAUGCCUAGGUAAGGUUAUUGUAAAAUUUUACCAUUGUAGUCGGAAGGAUGUGCAUGUUGGAAAAUUUUUAUAGAGACUGACAUUUGUACCGAUCCUGGUGCUGAAAGGAUGUCUUCUUCGUCUGGAGUUUCAAACUUUCUAACCAACUGUUAACGUGUGCGAGGCAAUCCAGUUCUGCUUGUGUGUUGAUUCAUGGGUUUGCUGCUUCGAACUUUUUCCAAUUAAAUCUUCCAUUGUCCCAUGGAGACUCCAUUCUGUGCUUCUAUUUCUUUGCUGUCUAUAUAGACGUUAUCCUAUAGCUUAAAUGCCUAUGCUUGGUCUUAGGAGCUUGCGUUGGUCAUAUUUUAUUGAUUUUAUGAACAUGAGAAAUGAUAUGAUUUCUUGUGGAUACAAUUUUGCACUUAUAAUUUUUGUGAGACUUGACUAUUA